GGGCCCGCACAAGCGGAGGAACAUGUGGUUUAAUUCGAUGAUACGCGAGGAACCUUACCCGGGCUUGAAAUGCGCAGGAAUAACCCAGAGACGGGUUAGUCAGCAAUGACCUGCGUGUAGGUGCUGCAUGGUUGUCGUCAGCUCGUGCCGUGAGGUGUCGGCUUAAGUGCCAUAACGAGCGCAACCCUUAUCUUUAGUUACUAACAGGUUCUGCUGAGGACUCUAAAGAGACUGCCGUCGUAAGAUGUGAGGAAGGUGGGGAUGACGUCAAAUCAGCACGGCCCUUACGUCCGGGGCUACACACGUGUUACAAUGGGGGGUACAGCAGGUUGCUAGCAGGUGACUGUAUGCUAAUCCGUAAAACCUCUCUCAGUUCGGAUCGAAGUCUGCAACCCGACUUCGUGAAGCUGGAUUCGCUAGUAAUCGCGCAUCAGCCACGGGCG
Molecule: ribosomal RNA, 443 nt
Filed under: uncultured Bacteroidota bacterium
Lineage: Bacteria; Pseudomonadati; Bacteroidota
Description: bacterial SSU rRNA
Rfam family: Bacterial small subunit ribosomal RNA
Source: RNAcentral